GAAUGCUGACAUAAGUAACGAUAAAGCGGGUGAAAAGCCCGCUCGCCGGAAGACCAAGGGUUCCUGUCCAACGUUAAUCGGGGCAGGGUGAGUCGACCCCUAAGGCGAGGCCGAAAGGCGUAGUCGAUGGGAAACGGGUUAAUAUUCCCGUACUUGGUGUUACUGCGAAGGGGGGACGGAGAAGGCUAUGUUGGCCGGGCGACGGUAGUCCCGGUUUAAGCGUGUAGGCUGGUUUUCCAGGCAAAUCCGGAAAAUCAAGGCUGAGGCGUGAUGACGAGGCACCACGGUGCUGAAGCAACAAAUGCCCUGCUUCCAGGAAAAGCCUCUAAGCAUCAGGUAACAUCAAAUCGUACCCCAAACCGACACAGGUGGUCAGGUAGAGAAUACCAAGGCGCUUGAGAGAACUCGGGUGAAGGAACUAGGCAAAAUGGUGCCGUAACUUCGGGAGAAGGCACGCUGACACGUAGGUGAAGUGAUUUACUCACGGAGCUGAAGUCAGUCGAAGAUACCAGCUGGCUGCAACUGUUUAUUAAAAACACAGCACUGUGCAAACACGAAAGUGGACGUAUACGGUGUGACGCCUGCCCGGUGCCGGAAGGUUAAUUGAUGGGGUCAGCGCAAGCGAAGCUCCUGAUCGAAGCCCCGGUAAACGGCGGCCGUAACUAUAACGGUCCUAAGGUAGCGAAAUUCCUUGUCGGGUAAGUUCCGACCUGCACGAAUGGCGUAAUGAUGGCCAGGCUGUCUCCACCCGAGACUCAGUGAAAUUGAACUCGCUGUGAAGAUGCAGUGUACCCGCGGCAAGACGGAAAGACCCCGUGAACCUUUACUAUAGCUUGACACUGAACAUUGAGCCUUGAUGUGUAGGAUAGGUGGGAGGCUUUGAAGCGUGGACGCCAGUCUGCGUGGAGCCGACCUUGAAAUACCACCCUUUAAUGUUUGAUGUUCUAACGUGGACCCGUAAUCCGGGUUGCGGACAGUGUCUGGUGGGUAGUUUGACUGGGGCGGUCUCCUCCUAAAGAGUAACGGAGGAGCACGAAGGUUGGCUAAUCCUGGUCGGACAUCAGGAGGUUAGUGCAAUGGCAUAAGCCAGCUUGACUGCGAGCGUGACGGCGCGAGCAGGUGCGAAAGCAGGUCAUAGUGAUCCGGUGGUUCUGAAUGGAAGGGCCAUCGCUCAACGGAUAAAAGGUACUCCGGGGAUAACAGGCUGAUACCGCCCAAGAGUUCAUAUCGACGGCGGUGUUUGGCACCUCGAUGUCGGCUCAUCACAUCCUGGGGCUGAAGUAGGUCCCAAGGGUAUGGCUGUUCGCCAUUUAAAGUGGUACGCGAGCUGGGUUUAGAACGUCGUGAGACAGUUCGGUCCCUAUCUGCCGUGGGCGCUGGAAGACUGAGGGGGGCUGCUCCUAGUACGAGAGGACCGGAGUGGACGCAUCACUGGUGUUCGGGUUGUCAUGCCAAUGGCACUGCCCGGUAGCUAAAUGCGGAAAAGAUAAGUGCUGAAAGCAUCUAAGCACGAAACUUGCCCCGAGAUGAGUCUUCCCUGAGACUUUGAGUCUCCUGAAGGAACGUUAAAGACGAUGACGUUGAUAGGCCGGGUGUGUAAGCGCAGCGAUGCGUUGAGCUAACCGGUACUAAUGAACCGUGAGGCUUAACCUUACA
RNAcentral lists this ribosomal RNA (1656 nucleotides) under Salmonella enterica. Its description in RNAcentral is "partial 23S ribosomal RNA". It matches the Rfam family "Bacterial large subunit ribosomal RNA", at positions 1292 to 2925 of the family's 2925-position model. Lineage: Bacteria; Pseudomonadati; Pseudomonadota; Gammaproteobacteria; Enterobacterales; Enterobacteriaceae. The record is from RNAcentral.